UCACUUGUUCUUUAAAUGAGGACUCGUAUCAACGGCAUCACGAGGAUCCUACUGUCUCCCCCCUCUAAUCGGUGAAACUGAUCUCUCCGUGAAGAAGCGGAGAUGUACAUAUAAGACGAGAAGACCCCAUGGAGCUUUAAACCCAACAACACCCGCCCCCCUCCAAAUCCUAUUAUUUACCCGGUGAUUGUUUGUUUGGUUUUAGGUUGGGGUGACCGCGGAGUAUAAGAUAUCCUCCAUGAAAAAAAGCUAACUGCCCUUAUUAGAGAAAGACACUUCCAAAAAAUAAUAAAUUAAUUUUAAAUGAUCCGACAUUCGAUCAACGAACCAAGUUACCCUGGGGAUAACAGCGCAAUCCGUCCCGAGAGCCCCUAUCGACAGGCGGGUUUACGACCUCGAUGUUGGAUCAGGGUAUCCUAGUGGUGCAGCAGCUACUAAAGGUUCGUUUGUUCAACGAUUAAAACCCU
RNAcentral lists this ribosomal RNA (467 nucleotides) under Boophis madagascariensis (Madagascar bright-eyed frog). RNAcentral describes it as "partial 16S ribosomal RNA". It matches the Rfam family "Bacterial large subunit ribosomal RNA", at positions 1965 to 2597 of the family's 2925-position model. Lineage: Eukaryota; Metazoa; Chordata; Amphibia; Anura; Mantellidae. The record is from RNAcentral.